Molecule: ribosomal RNA, 492 nt
Filed under: uncultured bacterium
Lineage: Bacteria
Description: partial 16S ribosomal RNA
Rfam family: Bacterial small subunit ribosomal RNA
Source: RNAcentral
AGUGAACGCUGGCGGUAGGCCUAACACAUGCCAGUCGAACGGCAGCACAGUAAGAGCUUGCUCUUACGGGUGGCGAGUGGCGGACGAGUGAGGAAUACAUCGGAAUCUACUUUUUUGUGGGGGAUAACGUAGGGAAACUUACGCUAAUACCGCAUACGACCUACGGGUGAAAGCAGGGGAUCUUCGGACCUUGCGCGAUUGAAUGAGCCGAUGUCGGAUUAGCUAGUUGGCGGGGUAAAGGCCCACCAAGGCGACGAUCCGUAGCUGGUCUGAGAGGAUGAUCAGCCACACUGGAACUGAGACACGGUCCAGACUCCUACGGGAGGCAGCAGUGGGGAAUAUUGGACAAUGGGCGCAAGCCCGAUCCAGCCAUACCGCGUGGGUGAAGAAGGCCUUCGGGUUGUAAAGCCCUUUUGUUGGGAAAGAAAAGCAGCAGGUUAAUACCCCGCUGUUCUGACGGUACCCAAAGAAUAAGCACCGGCUAACUUCGUG